Molecule: ribosomal RNA, 253 nt
Filed under: uncultured bacterium
Lineage: Bacteria
Description: partial 16S ribosomal RNA
Rfam family: Bacterial small subunit ribosomal RNA
Source: RNAcentral
UACGUAGGUGGCAAGCGUUGUCCGGAUUUACUGGGCGUAAAGAGCGCGCAGGCGGUCGUCCAAGUCGCGUGUGAAAGCCCCCGGCUCAACUGGGGAGGGUCACGCGAUACUGAUCGACUCGAAGGCAGGAGAGGGUAGUGGAAUUCCCGGUGUAGUGGUGAAAUGCGUAGAUAUCGGAAGGAACACCAGUGGCGAAAGCGGCUUCCUGGUCCAGCACCGACGUUCAGGCACGAAAGCGUGGGGAGCAAACAGG